This 254-nucleotide ribosomal RNA is filed under the name uncultured bacterium. Its description in RNAcentral is "partial 16S ribosomal RNA". It matches the Rfam family "Bacterial small subunit ribosomal RNA", at positions 524 to 776 of the family's 1533-position model. The record is from RNAcentral.
UACGUAGGGGGCAAGCGUUGUCCGGAAUCAUUGGGCGUAAAGAGCGUGUAGGCGGUCCGGUAAGUCGGGUGUGAAAACUCCAGGCUCAACUUGGAGACGCCACCCGAUACUGCUCUGACUUGAGUUCGGUAGGGGAGUGGGGAAUUCCUGGUGUAGCGGUGAAAUGCGCAGAUAUCAGGAGGAACACCGGUGGCGAAGGCGCCACUCUGGGCCGAAACUGACGCUGAGGAGCGAAAGCGUGGGUAGCAAACAGG